UACGGAGGGGUCGAGCGUUGUCCGGAGUUACUGGGCGUAAAGCGCGUGUAGGCUGACCGGAAAGUCGGGCGUGAAAUCCCUGAGCUCAACUCAGGAACUGCACUCGAAACUCUCGGUCUAGAGUGGUGGAGAGGGAAGUGGAAUUCCUGGUGUAGAGGUGAAAUUCGUAGAUAUCAGGAGGAACACCAGUGGCGAAGGCGGCUUCCUGGACACCAACUGACGCUGAGACGCGAAAGCGUGGGGAGCAAACAGG
This 253-nucleotide ribosomal RNA is filed under the name uncultured bacterium. Its description in RNAcentral is "partial 16S ribosomal RNA". It matches the Rfam family "Bacterial small subunit ribosomal RNA", at positions 524 to 776 of the family's 1533-position model. The record is from RNAcentral.